AGCUUUGCGCAGUGGCAGUAUCGUAGCCAAUGAGGUUUAUCCGAGGCGCAAUUAUUGCUAAUAGAGUUUGUCCAGGGUAUACAACUGGGGGGUGCUGGGUAGUAGGGCACAUGUCUUGUCAAUUUUCCUAGGUGGAACCA
Molecule: small nuclear RNA, 140 nt
Organism: Neogale vison (American mink)
Lineage: Eukaryota; Metazoa; Chordata; Mammalia; Carnivora; Mustelidae
Gene: U4
Rfam family: U4 spliceosomal RNA
About the family: U4 small nuclear RNA (U4 snRNA) is a component of the major U2-dependent spliceosome.
Source: Ensembl